UACGAAGGGGGCUAGCGUUGCUCGGAAUUACUGGGCGUAAAGCGCACGUAGGCGGAUCGUUAAGUCGGGGGUGAAAUCCUGGAGCUCAACUCCAGAACUGCCUUCGAUACUGGCGAUCUCGAGUUCGGGAGAGGUGAGUGGAACUGCGAGUGUAGAGGUGAAAUUCGUAGAUAUUCGCAAGAACACCAGUGGCGAAGGCGGCUCACUGGCUCGAUACUGACGCUGAGGUGCGAAAGCGUGGGGAGCAAACAGG
This 253-nucleotide ribosomal RNA is filed under the name uncultured bacterium. RNAcentral describes it as "partial 16S ribosomal RNA". It matches the Rfam family "Bacterial small subunit ribosomal RNA", at positions 524 to 776 of the family's 1533-position model. The record is from RNAcentral.